CUGCUUUUAGCGGACUCGACGAAAGUUUGGGACACCCGUGGGAGCCGUGGCGCAAAGAGCCCCAAGGCACGAGGAUGGCCAGCCCUAAAGCCGCAGGGCUCUCCUGGGGGAUCACUUGGCUUGCUAUCACUAUCUGUGCUCACCUACAGGUUCCUACAGUCCAAAUUAAACGUUUCACCUCCAAGGACCACGGAGUUGCUAACGUCUGAGAAUAAGAG
Molecule: long non-coding RNA, 218 nt
Filed under: Bubo bubo (Eurasian eagle-owl)
Lineage: Eukaryota; Metazoa; Chordata; Aves; Strigiformes; Strigidae
Description: lncRNA (ENSBOBG00000003640.1)
Source: RNAcentral